This 750-nucleotide ribosomal RNA is filed under the name uncultured archaeon. RNAcentral describes it as "bacterial SSU rRNA". It matches the Rfam family "Archaeal small subunit ribosomal RNA", at positions 93 to 846 of the family's 1478-position model. The record is from RNAcentral.
GUAACACGUGGAUAAUCUGCCCUUAGGUGGAGGAUAAUCUCGAGAAAUUGAGCAUAAUACUCCAUAGUUCUAGAAUGCUGGAAUGCUUCUAAAAUAAAAGCCCCGGCGCCUAAGGAUGAGUCUGCGGCCUAUCAGGUUGUAGUGAGUGUAACGGACUCACUAGCCGACGACGGGUACGGGUCCUGGAAGGGAAAGCCCGGAGAUGGACUCUGAGACACGAGUCCAGGCCCUACGGGGCGCAGCAGCUACGAAAACUUCACAAUGCGGGAAACCGUGAUGAGGGAAUUCCAAGUGCUAAUACUUUGUAUUAGCUGUUUACUUGCCUAAAAAGCAGGUAGAGUAAGGGCUGGGUAAGACUGGUGCCAGCCGCCGCGGUAAUACCAGCAGCUCAAGUGGUGAUCGCUAUUAUUGGGCCUAAAGCGUCCGUAGCCGGUUUGGUAAACCCUUGGGUAAAUCGGGCAGCUUGACUGUCCGACUUCUGAGGAGACUGCCAGACUUGGGACCGGGAGAGGUCAGAGGUACUUCUAGGGUAGAGGUGAAAUUCUGUAAUCCUAGGAGGACCACCAGUGGCGAAGGCGUCUGACUAGAACGGGUCCGACGGUAAGGGACGAAACCCUGGGGCGCGAACCGGAUUAGAUACCCGGGUAGUCCAGGGCGUAAACGCUGCGGGCUUGGUGUUGGGGGUCCUACGAGGGCGUCCAGUGCCGGAGAGAAGUUGUUAAGCCCGCCGCCUGAGGAGUACGAUCGCAA